Molecule: long non-coding RNA, 5323 nt
Filed under: Panax ginseng (ginseng)
Lineage: Eukaryota; Viridiplantae; Streptophyta; Magnoliopsida; Apiales; Araliaceae
Description: long non-coding RNA (PGIN_LNC007743)
Source: RNAcentral
CUCUUUAUUAUUUUAAUCAAAACUCAAAAAUCUAUCUUUCUUUCUUUCUCCGCUCUCUUCUUCAAGCUCAAGGUGGAGGCUCGAGGAAGAUAACUAAACAGUAAACAAAUUAUAUAAAGGAAUUAUACAAUCAAUUAUAUAUAUAUAUAUACGUAUUCAUUCCUGUUGAUCGGACGCUGGUUGUGAAACGAUCGAGUUCGAAUUCUGUUCAUUGCAGGUGAUCGGAGGUGUACGCAAUCCAAUGUACCAUGUCUUUUUUUCUCUCAAUGACUAGAACAUUCAAUGACAUGCAAAUUUGAACCGGAAACAAAGAGGUAUCGGAAAUAUUUGGUUGUUCGAGUAAAAUUUGCGAGUUUUAUUUUUAUUUAUGAAUUGGUUGGUUUUUCGUUCAAUCGUGAAAGUGAAUGCUGUGAUGAUCAGCUCAUUAUUUUCGGAGCUUAGGUUUGAUUAGCAUCUUGUUCUGAAAAUGUGGUGAUUAGCAGGUUAAGAGAGCUGCUAGCUGUUGCUGGUUUAUGAGGCUGAAGCUGAGGGAAGUAGAACUUAAAUCUGGAGGUUUGAUUUGUAUGUUUGUUGGAUAAAAGAUUUUUGUUGUUGAUUUUGAUUAGUCUAUCUGCUCUGACUGUGAUAUGUAUAAGCUAACGUUUCUGUUACUGCAAUCAUACAAUCCUCAUUGCAUGGAACUUUGCUGGAGUAGGCUGUAGGCAUUAGGGUUCUGAGAUAUAAAUUGACAUUGGUAUAGUUAGGGUUUGCAGAUAUUUAGGAUUUUUUUGGGUAGGGUUCUUAAAUCUUUUUUAAUUUCUUUUAAAAUUUAAAAAAUGUGCUUGAUGGUUUUUCCUUUUUGUUUUUAUUUUACAAAUCCCCCAUUUCAAAAAAAAACACUGGAAACAUGUUUUCAGAGUGGAACUAACAUAUAAUGUUGCUAAAAUAUUCCAAAAGCUUACUACAAUGUACUGUGAUGGAAAUGAUUGUGCAUUUCAGAUAGAAGCAAAUUAUUAUUUUCCCCCCUCAAAAUUUUCAUAAUUUUACUAAGAAUUAUUUGAGAAUUUUUAUUGAAAAUGAUAACCAAGUGUGUGCUAAUUUUCAGAAAUUUCAGAGAAGAAAAACUGAAAAAGAUAACAGAAAUGGUACAUGAAGACAGAAAUGGUAACAAACAAAAAAGAGUCAGUUUCUCUGCUUGCCUUGCUUGCUAUUUCUGUAGCUGAAUGUAAUGUGAUGGAUUUGACUUGGAUGGAUUCAGGGAAUGUGACAAAAGUUAGGGUUUUUAAGAUAAAAUAAACAUUUAGGACUAUUCUGGUGCACCAUUUUAAUCAUAAAGACAUUGAAAAUGCUUUGGCGGCCAUGGAAGGCCCUAAUAAAAGCAACUUAAUGAGCAGUACAAUGCAGUUCUUUUUAUGGAAUCCAUGAUGACGAGUGACGACCACUAUACUUUUCUACAUAUGUAUGAACUAUAGUUAUGGAUGCUAGUCAGCCACAUUCCAUUUCCUUAUUCACGGCUUCAUAGAUUGCCAAAUAUGUGUGGCUUGCGAUUGUAGAAAAUUGUUUUGUUUUCCUUCUAUUGGUGGGUGAAAGGUGUCCUUAUGUGUCACUGUUCGUUAAUUAAUGGAACUGCUUUUGAUUCUUGUUGGCAUUAUUCCUUGUUCAACGAAACUGAGCAUUUGGAUUUCAUAUCUGAAGAAAUAAAUGAAAGAGAACUUUAUAUGAAAAAACACUAAAAAGUAAUAUCUUGUUGGAUCCUUAACAGGAAACAUUUGUUGCUUUUGUCUAGAAGUGGCUGACUUUUCUUAUCCAUUUCAUAAUUUAUUAGUUGCUUCGUGUCGCUAGAAAGUUGGACUGUAAAAUUUACUCAGGAGAUGGAUAUGCUUCUUCAUUGAUGGUUGUACUGUUUGCGAUUCUUUUAUUGGGGAAAUCCAAUUGGUUGUUAUUUAGGGCUGUCAUCAAGUUGACAUGAGUUUACGGCUUAUUUUAAAUGGCGUAGAUUGCACUGCCAGCUUCGUUGGAAUUAUAUGAAUUUACAAUGAUGAUUAUGUUUCAGCCGCUAUUUCGGUGGGAAUACUGGUAGUAGCCUUUAUGAGCUUAAAUUUGUCGUAUUCAUACAAAACAAAGCAAUGAAUUUGAAUACGUUUGUUGAGAAGUUGGAUUUCAUAUAUGAAGGAUAAGUGAAAGAGAAGUUUAUUUGAAAAGCCACUACAAAAUAAAAUCUUCCGUUGUAGGAUCCUUAACCAGAAGUCGUUGUUCUUGUUGAAAGGUUGCUGACUUUUGUUAUCCAUUUUGAUUAUUGUCUUUAGAACGUUGUACUGUAAUUUGUACCCAGGAGAUGCAUAUUUCUGUCUGGGACUUAUUUUGUCAGCAAUUUAUUUUGGAAAUCCAAAUGGAUUUUAUGUCAGUAAUCGGUUGACAUGAGUUAACAAAUUGUAUUAAACUGUUUAUAUUGCUUUGCCAGCUUCAUUGGCAUUAUAUGAAGUUACAAUGAUGAUUAUGUCUUACUCGUUGUCACGAUGGGAAUAAAGUCCUGACUUCUGUGUUUUUGAAUUUGUCGUACUCAUACUAAUCAAAGUAAUGGGUUAAAUACGAGUGCUGUGUUAUGACACAAUCUUUAUUGUCCUUCUAUCUUUGGUUGUGAAGGCAUACUAUGAGGAAUCAACAACAUUCAGAACUACGAUGAACUAACAGAGUUUCAGACUUUCAGUGGCCACUUGUUAACAACAUCAGCAUUAAGGUAAUUGAUUAUAAAGGCAUAGCUGGCAGUCAUGACAUUAGCUUAUGGAAGGAUAAUGUGAUGUCUAUUAGUUAGAUUUUAUGUAUUGCUGUUCCCUUGCUAUGUCUUUUGGUUUUGUUAAUAAUUAAGUUUUGGCAAUUUGCAGGUUACAUGAAAGAAUGACGUGUGGAAUUCUGUUUCAAUUGCUUUUGGAUAAACAAUUAAUAAAUCGAGAUCAAUGUGAUCUUCAUAUCAUUUGUAAGUUUCUAGUUUAGCUGCCCUUUAUAAUAUAUAUAUAUAUAUAUAUAUAUAUAUAUAUAUAUAUUUUAUUAUUUUUUUUUGCGGCCACAAUAUUACAUUUCCAUAAAAUGGUUGCCAUGUGGAAUUCUGUUUCAUUUUCUGAGAAAGAAUAUUUGAUGUUCUGUCAAACAUUUAAACGAGGAGCGAUGAUUGAUUUGUCAUUUGUAUGUUUCUAGAAUUUCCAGUUGCCCUUAUAAUUUAUCUCGUGGUCUUUUAGUUCAUUAAUAUUAAUGCCUCACCUGCUUUUAGGAUUAAGGUUGCGUCAAGUCCUAUAAAGUUUAGUGUAGUUCUGGUGUUCCCCUAUGGUCCAGCAUUAAAGUGAGUGGAUCUGUAACCUUGUAUAUAAUCUCGGUUUCACCCAAAAUUGUAAAAUGAGUAUCAACUUGAACUUCACUUAAUGUGUCCUCUUUGAUUUACAAAAAUGGAGAAUCUUUUAUAGAGAUGGCAAUGUUAACAUCCGUAAAGGUAAAAGGGAUCUUGAGCUUGGUUGUGGAACAUGGAAAUCUGUAAAAGAUAAUGACUUUACAAUCUCAUGCCCAAAUCAGAACGUGGAAGCAAGAGUAGGAAUGGGAGUGUGAGAGCACUAAAUUUGAAAUACAAGGUGCUACUGAGAGCACAUAUGUACAAAUAUAUAAGAUAUAGAUCAUAGUAUGUAGGUUUCGUAAUAUAAAUAAACUUAUAGAGGAAACAUCAUUAAAUGAUAUCAGUUAGGUGGUCUAUCAAAUCUUGUUUGUAACAUUUCUGUAUCAUGCUUGUCACCGUUGAGAUUCGGUUUUUUGGCAUUCAAGAGAAACAUGGUGUCUCGUGAUUGUUCAAAGAUGAGUUUGUUUUGUAAUCUUCACUUGACUUGAGGCUAUUUCUUGCAUCCCAAUCAAAUUCUAAUAUCAGUAAGACCAACUAGCUGCCACAGAUUAGAGAAUUAGGGGAAUAUAUAUUUUCCAUUAGCAUAUUGAGGGUAUCCGCUGGUUGAAUUAUAUCGAUUAUAUUCAUCCAAGCAUAAUAAACAUAUCCAAGAGAUUUUACCAUGUCAACUUCCUGGUGCUCAAAGGUAGCAUCAUUUGGUUGCGAUUUGUGAGCUAUGUCUGAUCCUUUAUUUGUGAUAAAUCAUAGCUUAAGCCAUUUUCCUUGGAUUUCUUAGUUCAUUAAUUACAAUAGUGUGAUUGGUAUUAUGUUCAGUCACUCUAUAUUUCAGUCGUAUGAUCUUACAUACACACACACACACACACACACACACACACACACACACACAUAUAUAUAUAUAUAUAUAUAUGAUGUCGCACUUCAUUAUACGCUGCCUAUGAGAUGUUCAAGAUAUCGUAAAAGCCUUUUUAUUUUGUUAUCCAGAUUAUAUCUUUUAUGAGUUGAUAGUAUCAAUAAUGUUGAAAUGAUUGGCAGUACAAUCUUGACAUGAUGACAUUUACAUACUACCAGCAAUCAUGCCUUCUUAACUCUUAAGUAUCUUAUUCAAGAGUUUCAUUGAUUGAUAUUUUAAUUUGUGAAGUUUCUUUACUGUCGUCUUUUAGUAAAAUUUUCUUUAAAACCAAGUGUAAAGGGUUUUUAUUCAACUAUAAGGAUGGAAUGCAGGAGCAAGUAGUGGGAUGGAUUUGGUCUCACUUAAAAUAUUUUUGGUGUAUAUUGAUUAUGCUAAUUGAAUUCACGAUAAUAACUUAAAAAUAUAACGUAUCAGGCAGUCACGAUAUUGUUUUGAGGUACUAUAAUGAAUGCAUGGUGUGGGAAGAUUAAAUCAUAUUGACAUCCUUAUUUUUCUCUGUCCAAAAAGAUAUUGAAAAUGUUGGUAAAUUCUUCGACUUCUUGGCAAGUUUGUUGAUAAUGUUGUUGAUUAGUGGCUUGUUGCAGCCUUGCAGGAUAGGUAAUAAUAAUAUGCUAAUGGAUUUUAUGUAUUUAAAUAAAUUCAAGAUAGCUAUUGAUAGAAAUAUUGGCGCAUUAACUUCCACAGGGGCAACUCAAUAUUGAUAAGUUGGUAGGAAUGAGGAUCACCCAAAAAUUAUGUUUCUUUGACAUGCCACUUAGGAUGUAGGAAUGGUAUGUAUUUGGUUUGUAUUUAAAUGGAGCAUUGUCUUGCUCUGCCUAUAGACUAACUUGUGUAAUUAUUCUCUGAGAUUAUCCUAGUAUAGUAGUUGCUCUCUGAGUUUAUGACAUCUUACCUGUAUCUGCAAGCAUGCUUAGCACAGUUCGCAGUUUAGCUAGAACUUAAUAUAUUUAUUAUUUCUAGCUUGAAUUUCAAGAAGGUAUCCAAAAAGCUGUCAAGCUAGUUGAAGCUUGAAUAUGGGUGUAGAACGGGUCAAUAACCCCAAAAAUGCACUGCAG